AUGCAGUCGAGCGGUAGAGAGAGCUUGCUUCUCUUGAGAGCGGCGGACGGGUGAGUAAUGCCUAGGAAUCUGCCUGGUAGUGGGGGAUAACGUUCGGAAACGGACGCUAAUACCGCAUACGUCCUACGGGAGAAAGCAGGGGACCUUCGGGCCUUGCGCUAUCAGAUGAGCCUAGGUCGGAUUAGCUAGUUGGUGGGGUAAUGGCUCACCAAGGCGACGAUCCGUAACUGGUCUGAGAGGAUGAUCAGUCACACUGGAACUGAGACACGGUCCAGACUCCUACGGGAGGCAGCAGUGGGGAAUAUUGGACAAUGGGCGAAAGCCUGAUCCAGCCAUGCCGCGUGUGUGAAGAAGGUCUUCGGAUUGUAAAGCACUUUAAGUUGGGAGGAAGGGCAGUUGCCUAAUACGUAACUGUUUUGACGUUACCGACAGAAUAAGCACCGGCUAACUCUGUGCCAGCAGCCGCGGUAAUACAGAGGGUGCAAGCGUUAAUCGGAAUUACUGGGCGUAAAGCGCGCGUAGGUGGUUUGUUAAGUUGGAUGUGAAAUCCCCGGGCUCAACCUGGGAACUGCAUUCAAAACUGACUGACUAGAGUAUGGUAGAGGGUGGUGGAAUUUCCUGUGUAGCGGUGAAAUGCGUAGAUAUAGGAAGGAACACCAGUGGCGAAGGCGACCACCUGGACUAAUACUGACACUGAGGUGCGAAAGCGUGGGGAG
This 716-nucleotide ribosomal RNA is filed under the name Pseudomonas sp. MYb20. Its description in RNAcentral is "bacterial SSU rRNA". It matches the Rfam family "Bacterial small subunit ribosomal RNA", at positions 55 to 768 of the family's 1533-position model. The record is from RNAcentral. Lineage: Bacteria; Pseudomonadati; Pseudomonadota; Gammaproteobacteria; Pseudomonadales; Pseudomonadaceae.